Nannospalax galili (Upper Galilee mountains blind mole rat) is the source of this 1258-nucleotide long non-coding RNA. RefSeq lists it as uncharacterized. The record is from RefSeq and is a predicted model, not a curated record. NCBI's taxonomy places the organism in Eukaryota, Metazoa, Chordata, Mammalia, Rodentia, Spalacidae. The transcript is spliced from 3 exons.
AACAUUGGGAAAAUGCAUUCUGAAGCCAACGUGUUUCGGAGGGCUCCGCUGUGGAAGAUCUGAGCGCAGCGCGGGCGCAAAAGGACAGGACAGCCAUGCGCCGACCUCGGCGACUUCUCCGCCCGGAUGUGGCAGGUUUCAGAGAGAUGGGACGCCUGCUCCUCCUUCCCCGACCCCCACUCUUUUGGCCUUUGGGGAUAGAUUCACGGUCCGCCCAUGCCGUGCUGGCUGUGCCCACGGCUCCUGGCCUGGAAUUCAGCUGUGCAUCACCACUUCUUGUCUGACCCCCCUCUGUGCUGUGCAUUGUCUCUCAAACCUGGGACCUCAGGAACGGCUUCCAUCCCAUACAAGCUACUGACAGGGCCUGCUGGUGGGCCUCAUGACAUCAGACAGGAGCCUCCCAUCUUCUCCAGGUGAAGGGCUCUUACAGAAGUAACCACCUCUUCAGCUGCUCUGGCCUGAUUCAUGCUGUGUGUCCAGAGGAUCUUCUCCAUGUCUCCAUUGCAGACGGAGGCUGAGGAAGGCAGGUGCUCCAGCCUACAUCUUCCAUUGCCAUUGCUACUGCUCACGGUCAGCGUCACCUGGGAACUGUUGAGCUUUGCUGUCCAGGCAGAGGCUGCUCCCCUUCCUCAAAUGUGCCCUGCAAGGAGUCUAUCACCAGGCCACGUCCUUGGCUUUUGUUUUAGACAUGUCAUGUUACUGUUGUGCAGGGACAGCAGAGGCUCAAUUAGAUGAGAGCUAAGUGACGAGAUCACGUUGGCUGGAAGAGCUGCUACCGUGGCUGGAUGUUUCUGGUUCUUGGAUGACAGCACAAGAAGCUGGGCACCUUGCCUCUUUUUUAAAAUUAAAAGGAAUUUUUGUUUUAUGUGUAUGAGUGUCUUGCCUGCAGGAAUGUAUAUAUGCCACAUGCGUUUUGGGUGCCUGGAACUUGCUGUAUAGAUCAGGCUGGCCUUAAAGUCAUAGAGAUCUGCCUACUUCUGCCUCCUGAGUUGCUGGGGUUAAAGGUGUGGGCCACCAUGCACAGUUUCUUUUUUAAAAUUUUGUCCAUUUAUUUCAUUUAUUGAUUGUGUGUGUGUGUGUCUGUCUGUGGGCACAUGUGCCAUGGCACGUGUGUGACAGUCAGGGGAACAAAUUCAGGUCUUUAGACUUGGUGGCAAGUACCUUUACCACUGAGUCAUGUCACCAGUCCCUGUUUCCUUUUCUCGCCUUUCAUUUUUCUAAAUGAAAAAAAAUUUUUUUUGGAUUUAUUUAUUUUUAU